Molecule: ribosomal RNA, 253 nt
Filed under: uncultured bacterium
Lineage: Bacteria
Description: partial 16S ribosomal RNA
Rfam family: Bacterial small subunit ribosomal RNA
Source: RNAcentral
UACGAAGGGGGCUAGCGUUGUUCGGAAUUACUGGGCGUAAAGCGCACGUAGGCGGGUUUUUAAGUCAGGUGUGAAAUCCCGGGGCUCAACCUCGGAACUGCAUUUGAUACUGGAGACCUAGAGACCGGGAGAGGUGAGCGGAAUACCGAGUGUAGAGGUGAAAUUCAUAGAUAUUCGGUGGAACACCAGUGGCGAAGGCGGCUCACUGGACCGGUACUGACGCUGAGGUGCGAAAGCGUGGGGAGCAAACAGG